AGAGAAUUGCUUGAACCCGGGAGGUGGAGGUUGCAGUGAGCCAAGAUCAUACCAUUGCACUCCAGCCUGGGCAACAUGA
This 79-nucleotide small nuclear RNA is filed under the name Homo sapiens (human). Its description in RNAcentral is "partial ncRNA". Lineage: Eukaryota; Metazoa; Chordata; Mammalia; Primates; Hominidae. The record is from RNAcentral.